UGACCGCUGACUCCAAAGCCCGUGCUCUUUCCAGUGAGCCACGCUGCUUCUCUCCUGGAGGCAAGAGAAGGUGAGGAUUGCAGGUUAAAAAACAGGUAAGAGCUACACAGGUAGACUUGGGAGUUGCCUGCAAACCGUCAGUAGCUACAUCCACGUGAACGGACGAGCUCAAAAGACUCGGUUAGUACCAAAUUUCAUUAUAUAACAUGCCUUCCCCUUCCUGAAUCAUUCUAUUUAGUUCAGUGUCUUUCCUCUUUCUCCUUCCAAACACUGUUAGAUAAUCAUUCCACUUAAAAUGAAAAUAUAUAUUUUUGCAUAAUGGGCCAAUUUUUGCCAUUACACGUAUAAUUACUGGGAUUUCUAUUGUUAAUUCUCAUCAAGUGUUUGGAUAAUUAUGGGAACAAUUAAAUGUCCAAGCCCACGGCUAUUAUAUUUUUAGAAGAGUGGAAUGGUCAGAACUAUGGCACUUUUUUUUUUCUCCCUUUGAAAUUUCAAUUUUAGGGAUCAAGGAAAGGGAAUUUCAGGACAGGAAAAUGACUACAUGCCAAGCCAGGCAGAAAUCCACCAGACCAGAUCCUGCCAGAUCAAUGUAAAUCUUCCCCGUAUACUGUAAGCUCCUUGCGGGCACGGAUCAAGUCCGCCGACUCUUUUUACUGCACUUUCCCAGGCGCUUAAUCCAGUGCUCUGCGCAUGAACCUGAGCGGAGAAAAGAAUCAUCAAGAAGCAGCAUGGCCUGUUGGAAGGAGCACAGGCCUGGGAGUCAGCCAUCUUCAAUGGAACCAAACUGUUUUGGAGGGGAACAAAAACAAUGAAGAGCAAGGACAAACCAGUGGAAUCAUAAAGCCAGUCCCAUGAUAGUUCAAUUCUUGGUUAGAGCACAUUUUCAUCUGAACUAGGGGUUGGAUUGCACUUCUCAUUUCUAUAUAACGAAGCACUAAGAACAGUCAGCUGGGGCCCUUUAAAGGAACUGCUGUGCUGUUAAGCGUGUUGUCCGUAUGCAGCAUUGCAGUAGUACUUGCCGAACCAAUAAAU
Ornithorhynchus anatinus (platypus) is the source of this 1032-nucleotide long non-coding RNA. RefSeq lists it as uncharacterized. Lineage: Eukaryota; Metazoa; Chordata; Mammalia; Monotremata; Ornithorhynchidae. The record is from RefSeq and is a predicted model, not a curated record. The transcript has 3 exons.